Molecule: ribosomal RNA, 444 nt
Filed under: uncultured soil bacterium
Lineage: Bacteria
Description: bacterial SSU rRNA
Rfam family: Bacterial small subunit ribosomal RNA
Source: RNAcentral
AGAACGAACGCUGGCGGCAUGCCUAAUACGUGCAAGUCGAACGAACACUUCGGUGUUAGCGGCGCACGGGUGCGUAACGCGCGGGAAUCUGCCCUUGGGUUCGGAAUAACAGCUGGAAACGACUGCUAAUACCGGAUGAUGACGUAAGUCCAAAGAUUUAUCGCCCAGGGAUGAGCCCGCGUAGGAUUAGCUAGUUGGUGAGGUAAAGGCUCACCAAGGCGACGAUCCUUAGCUGGUCUGAGAGGAUGAUCAGCCACACUGGGACUGAGACACGGCCCAGACUCCUACGGGAGGCAGCAGUGGGGAAUAUUGGACAAUGGGCGAAAGCCUGAUCCAGCAAUGCCGCGUGAGUGAUGAAGGCCUUAGGGUUGUAAAGCUCUUUACCGGGAGAUAAUGACUGUACCGGAGAAUAAGCUCCGGCUAACUCCGUCGCCACGCAGCCGC